GUCUUUUUGAGUUAUUUUUAAAGUCUGACCUGCCCACUGAAUAUUUUUAAAUGGCCGCAGUAUUCUAACUGUGCAAAGGUAGCAUAAUCAUUAGUCUUUUAAUUGAAGGCUGGUAUGAACGGUUGGACGAAGUAUAAGCUGUUUCAUAUAAAAUUAUAUUAGAAUUUUAUAUUUUAGUUAAAAAGCUAAAAUAUUAUUAAAAGACGAGAAGACCCUAUAAAUCUUUAUAUUUAAUAUUAUUCAAAUUUUUUUGAUUAAUUUUAUUUUUAUAAUAUAAAAUAUUUUGUUGGGGUGAUAUUAAAAUUUAAUGAACUUUUAAUUUUGAAUUAAAACAUUAAUUUAUGAAUAGUUGAUCCAUUAUUAAUGAUUAUAAGAUUAAGUUACUUUAGGGAUAACAGCGUAAUUUUUUUUGAGAGUUCAUAUCGACAAAAAAGUUUGCGACCUCGAUGUUGGAUUAAGAUAUAUAUUUAGGUGUAGUCGUUUAAAUAUUAAGUCUGUUCGACUUUUAAAUUCUUACAUGAUCUGAGUUCAA
RNAcentral lists this ribosomal RNA (532 nucleotides) under Ceratitis fasciventris. RNAcentral's name for it is "partial 16S ribosomal RNA". The stretch from base 391 to 532 matches the Rfam family "Bacterial large subunit ribosomal RNA", at positions 2473 to 2614 of the family's 2925-position model. The record is from RNAcentral. RNAcentral also lists the same sequence under 1 other name. Lineage: Eukaryota; Metazoa; Arthropoda; Insecta; Diptera; Tephritidae.